RNAcentral lists this ribosomal RNA (320 nucleotides) under Blackburnia punticeps. Its description in RNAcentral is "partial 28S ribosomal RNA". The record is from RNAcentral. Lineage: Eukaryota; Metazoa; Arthropoda; Insecta; Coleoptera; Carabidae.
AUGGUUCGAUUAGUCUUUCGCCCCUAUACCCAGUUCAUACGAUCGAUUUGCACGUCAGAAUCGCUACGGACCUCCAUCAGGGUUUCCCCUGACUUCAUCCUGACCAGGCAUAGUUCACCAUCUUUCGGGUCCCAGCGUGUACGCUCUUGGUGCGCCACAACUUGCAAUAAGUAUGCAACGCCCCGGGAAUGCGAGGUAACAUAAAUAACGUCACCCAUCUUCCCUUUAUAAAAUAUAUAAAAAAUUAUAUAUAUACAUUCACUUUCAUUACGCCUUUAGGUUUAUUAUAAAUACCCAAUGACUUGCGCACAUGCUAGAUG